CUACGGGCGGCAGCAGUGGGGAAUAUUGCACAAUGGAGGAAACUCUGAUGCAGCAACGCCGCGUGGAGGAUGACACUUUUCGGAGCGUAAACUCCUUUUAUAUAGGAAGAAGAUGACGGUACUAUAUGAAUAAGCGCCGGCUAACUCCGUGCCAGCAGCCGCGGUAAUACGGAGGGCGCAAGCGUUACUCGGAAUCACUGGGCGUAAAGAGCGUGUAGGCGGAUUAAAAAGUCAGAAGUGAAAUCCUAUGGCUUAACUAUAGAACUGCUUCUGAAACUCUUAAUCUAGAAUAUGGGAGAGGUAGAUGGAAUUUCUGGUGUAUGGGUAAAAUCCGUAGAGAUCAGAAGGAAUACCGAUUGCGAAGGCGAUCUACUAGAACAUUAUUGACGCUGAGACGCGAAAGCGUGGGGAGCAAACAGGAUUAGAUACCCCCGUAGUC
RNAcentral lists this ribosomal RNA (439 nucleotides) under uncultured bacterium. RNAcentral describes it as "partial 16S ribosomal RNA". It matches the Rfam family "Bacterial small subunit ribosomal RNA", at positions 339 to 795 of the family's 1533-position model. The record is from RNAcentral.